RNAcentral lists this ribosomal RNA (256 nucleotides) under uncultured bacterium. RNAcentral's name for it is "partial 16S ribosomal RNA". It matches the Rfam family "Bacterial small subunit ribosomal RNA", at positions 355 to 627 of the family's 1533-position model. The record is from RNAcentral.
UGGGGAAUAUUGCACAAUGGGCGAAAGCCUGAUGCAGCAACGCCGCGUGAGUGAUGAAGGUCUUCGGAUUUGUAAAGCUCUGUCUUUUGGGACGAUAAUGACGGUACCAAAGGAGGAAGCCACGGCUAACUACGUGCCAGCAGCCGCGGUAAUACGUAGGUGGCGAGCGUUGUCCGGAUUUACUGGGCGUAAAGGGUGCGUAGGCGGAUGUUUAAGUGAGAUGUGAAAUACCCGGGCUUAACUUGGGUGCUGCAUU